CACGUAGUUAGCCGUGGCUUCCUCACAGGGUACCGUCACUUCCUUCGUCCCCUGCGACAGAGGUUUACAACCCGAAGGCCGUCUUCCCUCACGCGGCGUCGCUGCAUCAGGGUUUCCCCCAUUGUGCAAUAUCCCCCACUGCUGCCUCCCGUAGGAGUCUGGGCCGUGUCUCAGUCCCAAUGUGGCCGUUCAACCUCUCAGUCCGGCUACUGAUCGUCGCCUUGGUGGGCCGUUACCCCGCCAACUAGCUAAUCAGCCGCGAGCUCAUCUCUGUGCGAUAAAUCUUUGAUAUACCGGCCAUGCGGCCACUAUAUGUUAUGCGGUAUUAGCGUUCCGUUUCCAGACGUUAUCCCCCUCACAGAGGCAGAUUGCUCACGUGUUACUCACCCGUCCGCCACUAAAAGUGAAAAGCAAGCUCUUCACUCUCCGUUCGACUUGCAUGUGUUAGGCGCGCCGCCAGCGUUCUCCUGAGCCAGGAUCAAACUCCU
This 488-nucleotide ribosomal RNA is filed under the name uncultured Oscillospiraceae bacterium. RNAcentral's name for it is "partial 16S ribosomal RNA". Lineage: Bacteria; Bacillati; Bacillota; Clostridia; Eubacteriales; Oscillospiraceae. The record is from RNAcentral.